CGGGCCUUGUACACACCGCCCGUCACACCACGAGAGUUUGUAACACCCGAAGUCGGUGAGGUAACCUUUUAGGAGCCAGCCGCCGAAGGUGGGACAGAUGAUUGGGGUGAAGUCGUAACAAGGUAGCCGUAUCGGAAGGUGCGGCUGGAUCACCUCCUUUCUAAGGA
RNAcentral lists this ribosomal RNA (167 nucleotides) under Bacillus sp. Ru63. Its description in RNAcentral is "partial 16S ribosomal RNA". It matches the Rfam family "Bacterial small subunit ribosomal RNA", at positions 1375 to 1533 of the family's 1533-position model. The record is from RNAcentral. Lineage: Bacteria; Bacillati; Bacillota; Bacilli; Caryophanales; Bacillaceae.